GGAGGCGUGUGGGUGCCUGGUGGCCCUCCCGGUCUUCAAAACCGAGGUGUCCGAGGAUCUCGGGCAGGCAGGUUCGAUUCCUGUGCGCCUCCGC
This 94-nucleotide transfer RNA is filed under the name Streptomyces coelicoflavus. Its description in RNAcentral is "tRNA-Sec". It matches the Rfam family "Selenocysteine transfer RNA". The record is from RNAcentral. RNAcentral also lists the same sequence under 1 other name. Lineage: Bacteria; Bacillati; Actinomycetota; Actinomycetes; Kitasatosporales; Streptomycetaceae.